AGUAUACUUGCUGACGUCUGGCAUUCAUCGUUUACGGUGUGGACUACCAGGGUAUCUAAUCCUGUUUGCUCCCCACACUUUCGUACCUCAGCGUCAGUAUCGAGCCAGUAAGCCGCCUUCGCCACUGGUGUUCCUCCGAAUAUCUACGAAUUUCACCUCUACACUCGGAAUUCCACUUACCUCUCUCGAACUCAAGACUAGCAGUAUUAAAGGCAGUUCCAGGGUUGAGCCCUGGGAUUUCACCUCUAACUUACUAAUCCGCCUACGUACGCUUUACGCCCAGUAAUUCCGAACAACGCUAACCCCCUCCGUAUUACCGCGGCUGCUGGCACGGAGUUAGCCGGGGUUUCUCUACCAGAUACUGUCAUUAUCAUCUCUGGCGAAAGUGCUUUACGACCCUAAGGCCUUCAUCACACACGCGGCAUGGCUAGAUCAGGGUUUCCCCCAUUGUCUAAGAUUCCCUACUGCUGCCUCCCGUAGGAGUCUGGGCCGUGUCUCAGUCCCAGUGUGGCUGAUCAUCCUCUCAAAUCAGCUAUUGAUCAUAGUCUUGGUAGGCCAUUACCCUACCAACAAACUAAUCAAGUGCGGGCUCAUCCAAUGGUGCAUAAAGCUUUCUCCGUAAAGACUUAUCCGGUAUUAGCACAAGUUUCCUCGUGUUAUUCCAGGCCAAAGGGUAGAUACCCACAUGUUACUCACCCGUCUGCCACUAAGUAUUGCUACUUCGUUCGACUUGCAUGUGUUAGGCGUGCCGCCAGCGUACGUUCUGAGCCAGGAUCAAACUCU
This 783-nucleotide ribosomal RNA is filed under the name uncultured bacterium. RNAcentral describes it as "partial 16S ribosomal RNA". The record is from RNAcentral.